AAACUGCGUCAAACUGCGCAUAGGUUCGUCUCGUUCACUCUGGCGUGGCGACGAGGAUGGCGAGCGUUUGCCGGAAUGGAGGUUACGGCGAGUUCUUCUCCAUUAAAAGGGUAAUGCUCCCUUAGUUAUAUCACGUGGCAGCUUCUAUGGAGUUUUCCCAGAGUCCAGCCAGUAUGCUUACCAAUUUGCACUGGCAAAUAGUGUGGAAAAUGUAUUUUAUAUUGUGACCUUCAAUUAACAAAUAUGGAGCUGGAAUCUGCCAGUCAGAUUAUAGACUGGAUAAUUCAACAACUAUUUCAUCUGUCUUCCCGGAAGGGCAAAAACUUAUCCUGUCAAUGGAAAACAGCUUCAAGGAUGGUUUUCUGUUGAUUUCACUUCAGAUCAAUUAGAUAACAAUGUCUCAUGCAUAUUUGAUGCAAGUCUGCCAAUAUCUAUGGUGGAAGAUGUUGCUGGGCUUCACCCAUCUCAAUAUUGGAUAAAUGUUCACGUAAGAGCUUCAAAAUUUUAGUUAUUUUAUCUUGAUGUUCUUUGGAGAAAAAUCUUUAUUUCAUCUUCAUGUUUCUACAUUUAUCUUUUCUUCGG
Long non-coding RNA from Zingiber officinale, 582 nucleotides. RefSeq lists it as uncharacterized. The transcript is spliced from 3 exons. The record is from RefSeq and is a predicted model, not a curated record. Lineage: Eukaryota; Viridiplantae; Streptophyta; Magnoliopsida; Zingiberales; Zingiberaceae.